Molecule: ribosomal RNA, 429 nt
Filed under: Pseudomonadota bacterium
Lineage: Bacteria; Pseudomonadati; Pseudomonadota
Description: Proteobacteria bacterium partial 16S ribosomal RNA
Rfam family: Bacterial small subunit ribosomal RNA
Source: RNAcentral
UGGGGAAUAUUGGACAAUGGGCGAAAGCCUGAUCCAGCCAUGCCGCGUGUGUGAAGAAGGUCUUCGGAUUGUAAAGCACUUUAAGUUGGGAGGAAGGGCAGUAAGCGAAUACCUUGCUGUUUUGACGUUACCGACAGAAUAAGCACCGGCUAACUCUGUGCCAGCAGCCGCGGUAAUACAGAGGGUGCAAGCGUUAAUCGGAAUUACUGGGCGUAAAGCGCGCGUAGGUGGUUCGUUAAGUUGAAUGUGAAAGCCCCGGGCUCAACCUGGGAACUGCAUCCAAAACUGGCGAGCUAGAGUAGGGCAGAGGGUGGUGGAAUUUCCUGUGUAGCGGUGAAAUGCGUAGAUAUAGGAAGGAACACCAGAGGCGAAGGCGACCACCUGGGCUCAUACUGACACUGAGGUGCGAAAGCGUGGGGAGCAAACAGG